Molecule: transfer RNA, 96 nt
Filed under: archaeon
Lineage: Archaea
Description: tRNA-Tyr
Rfam family: tRNA
About the family: Transfer RNA (tRNA) molecules are approximately 80 nucleotides in length. Their secondary structure includes four short double-helical elements and three loops (D, anti-codon, and T loops). Further hydrogen bonds mediate the characteristic L-shaped molecular structure. tRNAs have two regions of fundamental functional importance: the anti-codon, which is responsible for specific mRNA codon recognition, and the 3' end, to which the tRNAs corresponding amino acid is attached (by aminoacyl-tRNA synthetases). tRNAs cope with the degeneracy of the genetic code in two manners: having more than one tRNA (with a specific anti-codon) for a particular amino acid; and 'wobble' base-pairing, i.e. permitting non-standard base-pairing at the 3rd anti-codon position.
Source: RNAcentral
CCCCCCUUAGUUCAGUGGUUUAGAACGCUCCGCUGUAGACGGAGAGACGUCAUCUGACGCUCCAAAUCCCCGGUUCGAAUCCGGGAGGGGGGACCA